GAUGAACGCUAGCGGCAGGCUUAAUACAUGCAAGUCGAGGGGCAGCAGCUUUAUAGCAAUAUAGAGGCUGGCGACCGGCAAACGGGUGCGGAACACGUACACAACCUUCCUUUAAGAGGGGGAUAGCCCAUAGAAAUGUGGAUUAAUACCCCGUAACAUAUCGGUGUGGCAUCACACUGUUAUUAUAGUUUCGACGCUUGAAGAUGGGUGUGCGGCUGAUUAGGUAGUUGGCGGGGUAAAGGCCCACCAAGCCUUCGAUCAGUAGCUGAUGUGAGAGCAGGAUCAGCCACACGGGAACUGAGACACGGGCCCGACUCCUACGGGAGGCAGCAGUAAGGAAUAUUGGUCAAUGGACGCAAGUCUGAACCAGCCAUGCCGCGUGAAGGAUGAAGGUCCUCUGGAUUGUAAACUUCUUUUAUAGGGGGCGAAAAAAGGGAAUUCUUUCUCACUUGACAGUACCCUAUGAAUAAGCACCGGCUAACUCCGUGCCAGCCGCCGCUGUAA
Molecule: ribosomal RNA, 504 nt
Filed under: uncultured bacterium
Lineage: Bacteria
Description: partial 16S ribosomal RNA
Rfam family: Bacterial small subunit ribosomal RNA
Source: RNAcentral